Molecule: ribosomal RNA, 236 nt
Filed under: uncultured bacterium
Lineage: Bacteria
Description: partial 16S ribosomal RNA
Rfam family: Bacterial small subunit ribosomal RNA
Source: RNAcentral
GAUCCUGGCUCAGGAUGAACGCUGGCGGCAUGCCUAAUACAUGCAAGUCGAACGAGAGGAAGGAAAGCUUGCUUUUCUGAAUCUAAUGGCGAACGGGUGAGUAACACGUAGGUAACCUGCCCAUGUGCCCGGGAUAACUUCUGGAAACGGAUGCUAAAACCGGAUAGGUAGCAGACAAGCAUUUGACUGCUAUUAAAAGUGGCCUUGGCCAUGAACAUGGAUGGACCUGCGGUGCA